This 1723-nucleotide long non-coding RNA is filed under the name Gossypium barbadense (sea-island cotton). RNAcentral describes it as "long non-coding RNA (GBAR_LNC013817)". The record is from RNAcentral. Lineage: Eukaryota; Viridiplantae; Streptophyta; Magnoliopsida; Malvales; Malvaceae.
UGAGGGUUACCUGAGAAUCAAAAAAUCAGAGAGUGAGCUUACGAGCUCAGUGUAUAACUCAAUACACACAAUAAAUCAGAUACACAUGCUUAAAUAGAUUACGGAACUGAUAUAGACAUCAAUGCAUAGCAGAUACAGAUUCAAAUGCAUAAUAGAUAUAGAUUCAAAUCCUACCCCUAUCCACUACACACCAUCUCCGACCAUUCCUAAACACUAAUUAGGAUAUUAAAUACCUAUCCAGCCCCACACACCGCUAAGUGAUCAUAUGUCACUUUAUAGAAUAUAUGCAGACUAACCCCCUGAUCAAAAUGUCAUAACCCACCUGAAACAGAUAUAUGUGGCUGAGCCACCAAAUACGGUAGAUAAAUUAAACUGCUCACACUUCCUCCAUAAUUAUAAUCCCACCCCAAUACAUAUGUAGAACUAAACAAAUAUCAUAUAUGUGUAUUACAUACAUGCUUUACACAUCAGAUUCAGAUAAUAUUAACAUAUAACAGAUCAUGCUAUCACAUAUAACAUACUACUCAUGUGUUCAUAAAUCAUAUUUAACACUAACAGAGCAUCAAAAAUCAUGAUUUAUAGACCAAUUUGUACCAUACGGACCCUAUGGAAGGGCUAUAUUCGAUUCAUACAAUGAUUACAACCUUAGGGAUAAAUUUCAAAUUUUGGGCUCACACGCCUGUGUGGCCCACACGGCCCAAUUGACCUAGACCAUGUGGCAUCGAUAGUCCAAUUUUUCAGCUUUCAGUUGUUUACUAUUUUUCGAGUUUUCGUUACACAUCUGGAAGUUUUCCGAUGUAAGUUCCAAAAACGAGUAUAACAGCACCUAAAAACAUAAUACACUUAACGAAUUAGCCAACAAUAAUGAAUCGAUUUGAGAGGAUAAACUCCUCGAUUUUCCUAAAAUAUCAAUCCAACCCACAAAACCAUUAACCCAAACAGCCACAACAGUUCCAAAUUGGCAUAAAUCCCUUACCCUUGGACGUACAAAACACCUUCACAAGCCUUAAUCCUCCAGUGGAUUAAUCGUUCCGUGACCUUCACCUAGAUAUCCCAAAAAAUUAAUAACAGAAAACGCAAUACUUAAACCCCAACUUAGCAAAAAAAAAAAAACAAAUAAUGAAAGGAAAAUUUUCAGUAAUAGAAUAAACAAAUAUCGACAGUACUUACUCAAGAAUCGAGUUACAAACAAUUCAAUCAACACCCACCACCGAAAUUGAGUACCACAAGAACAACAAGUCAAGAACACAAAGAAAAUUUUGGGAAACAAAAUCAAGAAAGGAAGAAAGAAAAUUCGAAGACCUUCCUUUCCUAGAAUCCACGUGAAAAGGAAAGAGAAACAAAGUGAACAGAAUAGGGAGAAAAGAAGGAAUGUGCGAAGUGGGGAAAGUUUUUGAGAAAUCUUUUUUUUUUUAAAUUUCAAAAUAAAAUAAAAAUAAUAAAAUAAAAUCCAACUCAAAACCCAAAUAUAAGCUGACUCCUUACCACUAAGCUAGCUGGAUCAUUCUUAGCGCAAAUUUUGUAAAAAUAAAAUUUAAGCCUAAUAAACAGAGAUAGGAAUAGAAACAAAAAUAGCAAAAAUUUCAAAAAGCGAGAUUUGAACAUAUGACUUCAAACAUAUAUCUAAAGCACUUAAUCAUUAAAGCGAAUCACUUGACAAAAUUUAACAAACCAAAGCUCAAUUUUUUGUGGCGUUUCAACGCGCUUGAACUCACGUCCUCCU